Molecule: ribosomal RNA, 251 nt
Filed under: uncultured prokaryote
Description: partial 16S ribosomal RNA
Rfam family: Bacterial small subunit ribosomal RNA
Source: RNAcentral
UACGUAGGGUGCAAGCGUUGUCCGGAAUUAUUGGGCGUAAAGAGCUCGUAGGCGGCUUGUCGCGUCUGCUGUGAAAUCCCGAGGCUCAACCUCGGGCGUGCAGUGGGUACGGGCAGGCUAGAGUGCGGUAGGGGAGAUUGGAAUUCCUGGUGUAGCGGUGGAAUGCGCAGAUAUCAGGAGGAACACCGAUGGCGAAGGCAGAUCUCUGGGCCGCUACUGACGCUGAGGAGCGAAAGCAUGGGGAGCGAACA